GGGACACGUGGUAUCCUGUCUGAAUAUGGGGGGACCAUCCUCCAAGGCUAAAUACUCCUGACUGACCGAUAGUGAACCAGUACCGUGAGGGAAAGGCGAAAAGAACCCCGGCGAGGGGAGUGAAAAAGAACCUGAAACCGUGUACGUACAAGCAGUGGGAGCACGCUUAGGCGUGUGACUGCGUACCUUUUGUAUAAUGGGUCAGCGACUUAUAUUCUGUAGCAAGGUUAACCGAAUAGGGGAGCCGAAGGGAAACCGAGUCUUAACUGGGCGUUAAGUUGCAGGGUAUAGACCCGAAACCCGGUGAUCUAGCCAUGGGCAGGUUGAAGGUUGGGUAACACUAACUGGAGGACCGAACCGACUAAUGUUGAAAAAUUAGCGGAUGACUUGUGGCUGGGGGUGAAAGGCCAAUCAAACCGGGAGAUAGCUGGUUCUCCCCGAAAGCUAUUUAGGUAGCGCCUCGUGAAUUCAUCUCCGGGGGUAGAGCACUGUUUCGGCAAGGGGGUCAUCCCGACUUACCAACCCGAUGCAAACUGCGAAUACCGGAGAAUGUUAUCACGGGAGACACACGGCGGGUGCUAACGUCCGUCGUGAAGAGGGAAACAACCCAGACCGCCAGCUAAGGUCCCAAAGUCAUGGUUAAGUGGGAAACGAUGUGGGAAGGCCCAGACAGCCAGGAUGUUGGCUUAGAAGCAGCCAUCAUUUAAAGAAAGCGUAAUAGCUCACUGGUCGAGUCGGCCUGCGCGGAAGAUGUAACGGGGCUAAACCAUGCACCGAAGCUGCGGCAGCGACGCUUAUGCGUUGUUGGGUAGGGGAGCGUUCUGUAAGCCUGCGAAGGUGUGCUGUGAGGCAUGCUGGAGGUAUCAGAAGUGCGAAUGCUGACAUAAGUAACGAUAAAGCGGGUGAAAAGCCCGCUCGCCGGAAGACCAAGGGUUCCUGUCCAACGUUAAUCGGGGCAGGGUGAGUCGACCCCUAAGGCGAGGCCGAAAGGCGUAGUCGAUGGGAAACAGGUUAAUAUUCCUGUACUUGGUGUUACUGCGAAGGGGGGACGGAGAAGGCUAUGUUGGCCGGGCGACGGUUGUCCCGGUUUAAGCGUGUAGGCUGGUUUUCCAGGCAAAUCCGGAAAAUCAAGGCUGAGGCGUGAUGACGAGGCACUACGGUGCUGAAGCAACAAAUGCCCUGCUUCCAGGAAAAGCCUCUAAGCAUCAGGUAACAUCAAAUCGUACCCCAAACCGACACAGGUGGUCAGGUAGAGAAUACCAAGGCGCUUGAGAGAACUCGGGUGAAGGAACUAGGCAAAAUGGUGCCGUAACUUCGGGAGAAGGCACGCUGAUAUGUAGGUGAAGUCCCUCGCGGAUGGAGCUGAAAUCAGUCGAAGAUACCAGCUGGCUGCAACUGUUUAUUAAAAACACAGCACUGUGCAAACACGAAAGUGGACGUAUA
RNAcentral lists this ribosomal RNA (1443 nucleotides) under Escherichia coli. RNAcentral describes it as "partial 23S ribosomal RNA". It matches the Rfam family "Bacterial large subunit ribosomal RNA", at positions 419 to 1847 of the family's 2925-position model. Lineage: Bacteria; Pseudomonadati; Pseudomonadota; Gammaproteobacteria; Enterobacterales; Enterobacteriaceae. The record is from RNAcentral.